GGGAUUUAUCUGAGGUUAAACUUUCAAAAAAUUCCUUGAAUGUGCAUGAUUGUAAACACAAAUAAAAUUACGGCGGUUUGGAGCAUUGCGUUUUGAGGUUGCACGCUUGGUAUGCUCAUUUGACAUUUUUUUGUACAUUUUUAUUGGACAUCGAUAUGAUAUUUACAAAGUACUGUAGGGAUGUGCGUCAUCACAUUUUGUCUUAUCUAUACAUGUGUCUUUUGACGUUUUGUGCACUAAAUUUUUUCAAUAGUGAAUUUGUUAAAAAUAGUAACACAAAUGUAGACAUAGUAUUAUAUGAUAUCUGCAAGAUAGAAGAACUUUUCUUAAAGGCCCAUCAAGUAGUAUACAUGCAUGCACGACUGUCAUUCUGGCGUAUGAAAAUAUCUGCUGACGCAACUUUUCCUGUUCAUACAUGCAUGGUUAAAUUUGAAAUGUGACAUCUUUGCAUACAUUUAUCCGAGCGCCAGGAUGAGUGUCGUGUACGACUUGUCAUACCGUGUAGAUGGUCCUCUAAGAAAUUAGUUUUAAUUAAAUUUACAGUUCAUACAACAAUCAACGUCCUGCAGGCAUGACACACGAUAUAUCAUGCUCAAGAUUAAUAGUAAUACUACAGUUUGAACACGAAUAACUUCAGUAGUAUACAAGUCGUCAAUCAUAUUACUUUUUCAUAAUGAUGUUGAACAGAGUCUUAUAUUAGUUUUCGCGAACAAGUUCCAUUUUGUAUGUCUUUUGUAUUUAUUGGAAAGCUAUACCAAAUUUUGCUUCUGUAUAAAAAAUUUAUCGUAAUUUACCAAUACUUGAUAUGUACAUUGAUGCAUGGCGGAUGAUUUACAGGGCCUUACUGUAUAUACUAUAGUUCUAUAUACACACUACUAUAGGCCUACGUCAGAUGCUUCUCAGCAAAGCAGAAAACAGCGUACUAUGAUUUCGAUUUAUCUUUCGGCAUGCAGUUCUCAUAUAUCAUAACAAUAUACAACGCAUUUGCGCAACUAUAUUGACCCUUGCGUGCUGUAUUUGGAAAGAUCAAAUUCCGAACAAAUUGCGUAGAUUUUUUAUCAUGCAUGAAACACCUAUUUUACUUAAUGUAGCUACAAGCUAUACGGGUUACGCCGUUACGUAUAGAUGUAAUGGGGAGUUUAAGCUUCACGUUUCUGGGAACGGCAAACGGCAGGUUCGAACUUUCUUGGCAAAAUUUUCGUUCAACCUUUUUGUUUGAUAUUUUCUUUCUUAACGCGAAGCUUAAACACUCUAUUGUUUAGUGAAAUAGAUAAUAUUUGGUAUGUUACAUGCAUGUACAUUUACUUAAGCAUUGCAUAUCAAAAUCUGAUGGCAUGAAUGUAGCAUUUAACUCAGUGUUUAUAUAAGACCGGCAGUGUUUAUUAAAACUACUUGUCUUGACAUGCAUUUCACUUAUUAAGUCUGUAGUUUAAACAAGUACAUAUAAGAUAAGUGUAUUAACAGAAAAAUAUAAGAAAAAUACCGACGCCUAUUUUGUUUCUCAGAAUCUUUAUACGCUUAGAGAUCUGGGUCUAUCAGUAUAGUUUACGCUUGUGUUAAUGUCGGGGGUGAUGUCGAUGCGUAUUUCAUUGCAUCUGUAUGUUUUUCCGUUUUCUAUGUCACACAAGCUGAGCCCUUUACUGGCGAUAGUCAAGGCUGUUUCUGUCGAGAUUUCUGUUGGCUGUUUGGAAACAAUCUUUGGAACACGAUGCAGAUCUGACAAUCUUCUGUAAUGCCAGUACGCUCUGAUAAGUGUCUUGAUAACGAGUCCAAUUUCGUGUGGGUUGUAUGCAAACAAUACAACGCGAAGAGCGAGGAACAUACAACUGGAAACAAAUUGAGAAAGUUUAAUUCUUCGUUCCGAGUGGAUCGAUCCAUUUGUUAAUUCAGGAAACUUCAUAUGAUAUAUUUCCAAUAAUGAAGGAAUGUGAAACAUGAUAGCAACCAAACAAAUCAUGAUUUUCACCCACGCCGGAUUUGUUAACUUCAAUUUUGUACCUGACAUCUCAAUACCGUCGUAGAUAUCUAUUAUCGCUGGGCAAUAGUCUUUCACUUCACUAAGCAUAUUAUAUCCAGCCAUCAUUAUUUGUAGUGGUAAAAGUAGUGAUAUUUGUGUUAUGCUACUUGAAAAUGCGACAUAGGUUGAAUAGCUAUAUACGGCCAUAUAUCCAUCGUUGACUGUAUAGUAAAUGAGCAAUGUGAAAUGGAACAACAGCAUGAAAUGCCCCAUUCUGCCGGACCCGAACAUGCCGGACCCAAACGUGUUACCGACGACUUUUUUCGCCUGAAUUUGUGUAAAAUAUGCAGCUGGUACUAACAGAAUAAUCGCAUAUAUUAUUAAUGGAGGAACUGUGUUCAUCAAAAAUUCCAUCGUAACAAAACGGUAGAAUUGCGUCAGGGCAAUACCAAUGUUGACGAAGAAUCCGGGUAAGAAUGCAAAGAAAAAGAUAGUAGCAA
This 2457-nucleotide long non-coding RNA is filed under the name Paramuricea clavata. The record is from RNAcentral. Lineage: Eukaryota; Metazoa; Cnidaria; Anthozoa; Malacalcyonacea; Plexauridae.